This 1901-nucleotide long non-coding RNA is filed under the name Prunus dulcis (almond). RNAcentral's name for it is "sRNA ncRNA". The record is from RNAcentral. Lineage: Eukaryota; Viridiplantae; Streptophyta; Magnoliopsida; Rosales; Rosaceae.
AAAAAAGAACAAAAAUGCCAGAAAUGUUGUAAACGAUAAGGUGGAGAGUGGAGCCCACCACAUAGGGCUUUGCCUAUAAAAUGGUUCAGACUUCAUUGUAAUGUGAUGGGAUUGAAUAUAAAAUUAAGAGAACUAAUCCGAUUGUUUUUCUCUGCUCCUAAUUCUCUCUAUUCAAUUUCCUUUAGAUUUAUAACACGUUAUCAGCACGAAUUCGCUCUCAAAUAUAUCGGUUGAAUUCUCUGAUGAAACCCAGAUCUAUCCCUCCCUCCUUCCAUCCGUCUUCUUCUGCAACUGCAACUCUGCAAGUGUGCGGUUGUAAAGUAAUCAGAGCUGGAGAGGGUCUCUGUUCUUGCCCCAUUUAUGCAUACACAAGUGGUUCUGUCUUUGUGACCUUGUGACUCUGUGUGUGUGUGUGCCACAGAGAGAGAAAGAGAGUUACAGUCAUAGACCGAAACCCCAAAAGGCCAAAUCCCAUCAGAGUUACCCAACAGUAUAUGCUGAAGAUUUGAAAGAGAUGGAAGGUGAUUUGGAGAAGGUGGUAAGCUUGUGGGCCACCGUCAAAGAAAAAAAAAAAGGUGGAAGAGACCAAGAAGCUUUGGGAGAGGACGUUUGAUCAACCAUAUGAGAAAGCUGGUGGAAGAAAUAGCUUUGGAAUUGGAUGGAGGUGUCUCAUUCAAGCACGGCAGGAUCAAAUAUUUUGAUGAAGUUUUGUCACAACAAAGAGGGGAUUGAUUGCUCCAAGGUUCCCAAAAGGAGAUUGAAUGAAGAUCUUUGCUUAGAGUACAGGGAAGGAAGGUGCAGGGUGCCAAGGAUCAGAGAGGUUGAUACAAGAAAAGAAAGACUUCCUAAUCAUGAUGAUGGCGGCCAUAGUGCAAGUCUAUAAUGAUAUUAUUUUAUGAAGGUGUGAUAUUAUUUUAAUUAUAUAAUUAUAUUGAUUAAAGGUGUGCAGGAAGAAAAGUGGGAUACAGCAAGUUGAUCCUAGUGGAAAGCAAAGUAAAGGAAACAAAUGAUUAUUGCCAGGCAUGUGAACACCCACCGAAAUAAUGGGAUAAGUACCCUGUCUCACUCUAUCUCCUUUAAUUAAUUAUAUUAUUUAAUACUCCUGACCAGUGUAGAUUGCAAGUGGAAAGAAUAUAAAAUGAUUUGAUAUAUCAGUAUAAUAAUAUCAUACUAUUUGAUUGUGGUGUUGAUAUGAACCCACAAAUAAUUGUCUUUACUUUAUUCAUUCCGCAAUUAUUUUAUUUACUGUAUGGUGUAGGUUUCUUACCCAUACAAGCACAUUUACUUUAUCAUAAAUUUACUUUAAAGGGUGGUGCGGGUUUAUCGUCCACGCCUUUACUGACAUUUACUGACAUUUACUUUAUCGUAAAUUUACUACUGACAUUUACUGACAUUUACUUUAUCGUAAAUUUACUACUGACAUUUACUGACAUUUACUUUAUCGUAAAUUUACUUUAAAGGGUGGUGCGGGAUUAUCGUCCACGCCUUUACUUUCAUUUAAAGUAUGGUGCGGCAUUAACGUCCAUACAGCAAUUUAAUUUGUGAAUUUACUUUACAGCAAAUUAACCUACUUUAAAGGGUGGUGCGGGUUUAUCGUCCACGCCUUUACUGUUAUUUAAAUGUAUGGAGCAGAAUUAGUGCCCAUACAAGCACAUUUACUUUACCGCACAUUUAAAGUAUGGUGCGGGAUUAACGUCCAUACAAGUAAUUUAUUUAAACGGUAAAUUUAUUUUAUGGAUUAAUUGUGCUGUAUGAUGAGUUUUUACAGUAUUCAGAUCAUGACCAGAAGUUCCUUGAUCCUCAUCAUACAUUUACAUCAGGACUUGAAGAUCCUUGAUGAUGAUAUUGAUAUAAGAGCUGGCAGUCUCUCCGGUACUAUAUUUGUAAACAUGUGAUCGGAC